Molecule: ribosomal RNA, 698 nt
Filed under: Streptomyces sp. ME-11
Lineage: Bacteria; Bacillati; Actinomycetota; Actinomycetes; Kitasatosporales; Streptomycetaceae
Description: bacterial SSU rRNA
Rfam family: Bacterial small subunit ribosomal RNA
Source: RNAcentral
UCGAACGAUGAAGCCCUUCGGGGUGGAUUAGUGGCGAACGGGUGAGUAACACGUGGGCAAUCUGCCCUUCACUCUGGGACAAGCCCUGGAAACGGGGUCUAAUACCGGAUAACACUCCUUCCUGCAUGGGGAGGGGUUGAAAGCUCCGGCGGUGAAGGAUGAGCCCGCGGCCUAUCAGCUUGUUGGUGGGGUGAUGGCCUACCAAGGCGACGACGGGUAGCCGGCCUGAGAGGGCGACCGGCCACACUGGGACUGAGACACGGCCCAGACUCCUACGGGAGGCAGCAGUGGGGAAUAUUGCACAAUGGGCGAAAGCCUGAUGCAGCGACGCCGCGUGAGGGAUGACGGCCUUCGGGUUGUAAACCUCUUUCAGCAGGGAAGAAGCGAAAGUGACGGUACCUGCAGAAGAAGCGCCGGCUAACUACGUGCCAGCAGCCGCGGUAAUACGUAGGGCGCAAGCGUUGUCCGGAAUUAUUGGGCGUAAAGAGCUCGUAGGCGGCUUGUCACGUCGGAUGUGAAAGCCCGGGGCUUAACCCCGGGUCUGCAUUCGAUACGGGCUAGCUAGAGUGUGGUAGGGGAGAUCGGAAUUCCUGGUGUAGCGGUGAAAUGCGCAGAUAUCAGAGGAACACCGGUGGCGAAGGCGGAUCUCUGGGCCAUUACUGACGCUGAGGAGCGAAAGCGUGGGGAGCGAACAGGAU